AUUGAACGCUGGCGGCAUGCCUUACACAUGCAAGUCGAACGGUAACGCGGGGCAACCUGGCGACGAGUGGCGAACGGGUGAGUAAUGCAUCGGAACGUGCCCAGUAGUGGGGGAUAGCCCGGCGAAAGCCGGAUUAAUACCGCAUACGACCUACGGGUGAAAGCGGGGGACUCGCAAGAGCCUCGCGCUAUUGGAGCGGCCGAUGUCAGAUUAGGUAGUUGGUGGGGUAAAAGCCUACCAAGCCGACGAUCUGUAGCUGGUCUGAGAGGACGACCAGCCACACUGGGACUGAGACACGGCCCAGACUCCUACGGGAGGCAGCAGUGGGGAAUUUUGGACAAUGGAGGCAACCCUGAUCCAGCCAUUCCGCGUGAGUGAAGAAGGCCU
Molecule: ribosomal RNA, 387 nt
Filed under: uncultured bacterium
Lineage: Bacteria
Description: bacterial SSU rRNA
Rfam family: Bacterial small subunit ribosomal RNA
Source: RNAcentral